CAAUAGCGUAUAUUAAAGUUGUUGCAGUUAAAAAGCUCGUAGUUGGAUUUGUGGCGUACGGUGUGUUCCGGGCACUUGUUGUCUGAGUAACCUGCUGUUGCCAUCCUUGGUUGGAACCUGUGUGGCAUUAGGUUGUCGUGCAGGGGAUGCCCAUCAUUUACUGUGAAAAAAUUAGAGUGUUCAAAGCAGGCUUAUGCCGUUGAAUAUAUUAGCAUGGAAUAAUGAGAUAGGACUUUUUUGCUAUUUUGUUGGUUUGCGCAAAGAGGUAAUGAUUAAUAGGGACAGUUGGGGGUAUUCGUAUUCCAUUGUCAGAGGUGAAAUUCUUGGAUUUUUGGAAGACGAACUACUGCGAAAGCAUUUACCAAGGAUGUUUUCAUUAA
RNAcentral lists this ribosomal RNA (380 nucleotides) under uncultured eukaryote. RNAcentral describes it as "partial 18S ribosomal RNA". It matches the Rfam family "Eukaryotic small subunit ribosomal RNA", at positions 592 to 976 of the family's 1831-position model. The record is from RNAcentral.